Molecule: long non-coding RNA, 1431 nt
Organism: Triticum aestivum (bread wheat)
Lineage: Eukaryota; Viridiplantae; Streptophyta; Magnoliopsida; Poales; Poaceae
Exons: 2
Source: RefSeq, a predicted model, not a curated record
AACAAAAAAGAAAAAAGCCCAAACAGAAAAGAAAAAAACCACCCCGAAACCCCACGUUCCCCAACUCUCCCUACUCUCCCCGAUUCCCAGUCGUCGCCAUCCCCGCCGCUGCAUGCCUCCCCCCUAAUCUCAACGGCCAGCGAGCCUCCCCCUUCCUCCCUCGGCCAGCGCGCCUCCCCACGGUCCAGUCCAGAUCGGCUCCAACGUGCCGCCGCCGACAUCUUCCCCUGCGUGCUGUUGCCAGGCGCUGGAUCCUGAGCGCCGCUGACGGGCCGUGGAUCCCACGCGCCGCCGCCUGUCCAUGGAUCCCGCGCACUGCCGUCGCCUCCCGAGACCACAACGCGCCACCUGGUGGCCGCCGCUGGAGACCCCCUGCCUCCUUCCUCCCCGCGUCGGGUGGGUGGUGCAGCACCGGAGCGCCGUCGAGCACAGCUGGAGAUCCCUCCUGCCUCCUUCCUCCCUGGAAUCACGUCCACGGCCACUCCAUCGCCCCCAGCACGGGCGCGCGUGAUCCAGCGGCAGCGAGCCUCUGAUGGGGGGUUUCAGGUGCAAAAAAGUUGGAUGUAGUGAUAUGUUGGUUUUCACAGGUACUCCAAAUAUUGGGAAAAAAGAGUUUUCUUCUCCCAAAUGCAUCAAAGCCGUGAAGUGCUAAUUCUUCUUGUGUGCUUCUAUAGAGCCUUGUGUUUCAGUCACCACCAUGACGAACCAGCUCGUCCUAUUUUGCAGAAGCAAGUCGCACGAUAGUUUUUAGCUGGGAUGCAGUUCAGAGGUAAUACGGAAUCAAGGUUCAGUGAGAUUUUUUUAGCACAUUCAGAGAGCUUUUUCAGUGCACUGCAGCCAAAUCCGUUCUGGAGGCCACACUGCUGACGUUUGGUUUUGAUUUUAUUUUACAAACGAAGUUGCUAGCAGUAGUAGAUCUUGGGAUUUGGGCACACAAGGAUAAGAUAUAUAAAUAAGUCGCCCUAAUGAGUUGGAGAUUGCAUGUUCGUUGCUCAGAAGGAUAAGAUCCUUUUGGUUUUAGCUAGGUUGUAGGGGACUGGGAACAUUGACGAAGGACUUCUACAUGGCGAUGUCCUGAAAGAAGGCGAACUCGUGCUCCAUCCUCGUCUACGUUUGCAACUGCCGCUCGAGGGACAGUACAGACCACCCCUGCGGCCCUCUGGUCUACGCAUCAUGUGCUACUGCUUGUGCCUGCUCGUUGCCUCCACCUCAGGGACGAAGGAAAUUUUAGCUGGUCAAGUUCAGCUCCGUGCCGGAUAAAAGGUCAUCUUGGAUGUGUGCCUGCUCGCUCCCUCCACCGUUUGAGCAUUUCUCUGAACUUUUUUCAAUGUAUGCACUACUAAAAUUUUAGUCCAGGCUUUGUACUUUAACUAAGUUCGGUACUGAAUUUUAGAGAGGUUGAGAAAAAUGAAGUUCUACUAUUUUAGUUUA